This 496-nucleotide small nucleolar RNA is filed under the name Naumovozyma dairenensis CBS 421. Its description in RNAcentral is "Small nucleolar RNA snR30". It matches the Rfam family "Small nucleolar RNA snR30". Lineage: Eukaryota; Fungi; Ascomycota; Saccharomycetes; Saccharomycetales; Saccharomycetaceae. The record is from Rfam by way of RNAcentral.
ACCCAUAGGCUCGUGUUAGGUUGAUAGUACAGGAAAGAGGGGUUGUGUGGAUAUUUGGCAUUCAUGUCAAACCCACACGUAUAGCUCCUUGCUAUUGUUGCUUAACUUUUCCUAAUUUGUCUCCUAACAGUUCAGCGCUCGAGAGGCAAAGUCUCAAGGAACCCAUGAAUGUUAUACUUCUCCUCUAAUCUAAUUAGGGUUUUGAGUCGUUAAUAUUCGAGAAGAUCUUUUCCCUUUGGAGAAGGACUUUUUUGUGGUUGUUGCCAUUACUUACAUGGAUGAGACAGAAGCAGCCCCGUUGACGAGUCAAAUUUUUUAGAUAAAGUGAGAUGCAUGAUCUUGAAAUCUCUAUGUUAUAUCAUCUUUUUCGGGAGUAGAUGUAUCGUAGAUUGAGUUCGGUCAUCUUUGUUGUCAUUUCACCGCGGUAUAUUCCUAAACACUAUGAAGAUCCUAGUUGGUCUAUUAUCAUUUGGGUAAAACCAUACCGCUGACAUUU